UCAUCAUACCUGCCAGUGAGUCAAAGAUUCCAUCUUUGUGUGAUAGGAAAAAAUUCUUGGUGAAUUCUUAAGCUAUUGGGAUCAGCUGAGGCACAAUCCCUUUUGAGAUUGAUACUGUGUUCUAGUGCACAAUUCACUUGCAUUUUAUUACCCACCCACUCGAACAAUGGAGUGCAAAUAGAAAAAUCUGUGGCUUUGAGGAUGAAGAUUCCUUGUUCUGACUUCAACUCUUGGUCAGGUUGUUUGUGCCACUUCCUACAACAGAUAAUUGUUAGGAUAAUUUGUUCUACAUGAAGGCUAUGUCUUAUGAGCUCAAGCUACCCCCUACCCCCCAAGCCUGAGGACAUCCUGGAGGAUUUGUGUGUUGGUUUGAAUGCGAAAUAAAAAGGGCAGCAAUAUUUUUUUUAAUCAAUGUAAUACAAAUUGUUGGUGAUAAAAUAAACAGUGGGGUUGUAUCAAAAAA
Phlebotomus papatasi is the source of this 463-nucleotide long non-coding RNA. RefSeq lists it as uncharacterized. The record is from RefSeq and is a predicted model, not a curated record. The transcript is spliced from 2 exons. Lineage: Eukaryota; Metazoa; Arthropoda; Insecta; Diptera; Psychodidae.